CCCUAUCUGCCGUGAGCGUUGGAAGAUUGAAGGGGGCUGCUCCUAGUACGAGAGGACCGGAGUGGACGAACCUCUGGUGUUCGGCUUGUGUCGCCAGACGCAUUGCCCGGUAGCUAAGUUCGGAAUCGAUAACCGCUGAAAGCAUCUAAGCGGGAAGCGAGCCCUGAGAUGAGUCUUCCCUGAUACUUUAAGUAUCCUAAAGGGUUGUUGGAGACUACGACGUUGAUAGGUCAGGUGUGUAAGUGCUGUGAGGCAUUGAGCUAACUGAUACUAAUUGCCCGUGAGG
RNAcentral lists this ribosomal RNA (286 nucleotides) under Vibrio sp. T21. RNAcentral's name for it is "partial 23S ribosomal RNA". It matches the Rfam family "Bacterial large subunit ribosomal RNA", at positions 2636 to 2916 of the family's 2925-position model. Lineage: Bacteria; Pseudomonadati; Pseudomonadota; Gammaproteobacteria; Vibrionales; Vibrionaceae. The record is from RNAcentral.